Molecule: ribosomal RNA, 423 nt
Filed under: uncultured bacterium
Lineage: Bacteria
Description: partial 16S ribosomal RNA
Rfam family: Bacterial small subunit ribosomal RNA
Source: RNAcentral
GAAUUCUGGACAAUGGGGGCAACCCUGAUCCAGCCAUCCCGCGUGUGCGAUGAAGGCCUUCGGGUUGUAAAGCACUUUUGGCAGGGAAGAAAAGGCUCUGGCUAAUAGCCGGAGCUGCUGACGGUACCUCCAGAAUAAGCACCGGCUAACUACGUGCCAGCAGCCGCGGUAGUCCGUAGGGUGCAAGCGUUAAUCGGAAUUAAUGGGCGUAAAGCGUGCGCAGGCGGUUUGGCAAGAAGGAUGUGAAAUACCAGGGCUUAACCUUGGAACUGCAUUCUUAACUGCCAGGCUAGAGUAUGUCAGAGGGGGGUAGAAUUCCACGUGUAGCAGUGAAAUGCGUAGAGAUGUGGAGGAAUACCGAUGGCGAAGGCAGCCCCCUGGGAUAAUACUGACGCUCAUGCACGAAAGCGUGGGGAGCAAACA